CGAGCGGCGACUGCAGCUGCACGGCGUCCAGCAGGGAGCCGAGGAACGCCCACUCCCCCAUGGCGCUGGGGACAGACGCGGGGCGGACAGUCAGGGGCUGGGAAGGAUCGGGUCCCCCAGUCCUCCGAGCCCGUCGUGGUGGGGUCACUUAGACCUCCUCUAACUUUGAGGCAGCGGAUGGAGAAACAGAUGCAGGCGGAAGAAAUCGGUGCAAGGACAUCUCUCUAAAAAGUACCUGGGAAACUGUCGCAUGACUGACCUCGAAUAUCAUUGGCCGGGAUGACCUUCCGUGACGAAGCUCGGGAAAGGUAAGCUCUAUUCUAAGUGGCCUGGCAUGGAAGAAGGGAGGAUGUCACCCUCACUGUCACAAAUCUGCUUCUGGCCUCCACGCUGAGAUGGGGAGUCAGAGAGACUCGGUUUCCCCCAAGCCUGCCCCCAGCAACAGCCUCUGCACAGCUUCUCGCUGAGGGAAAGGGACAUCUCUUCAGUCUUGCUUGUCAUCUUGUCCCCACGUCCUUCCACCGCUGCACCUCUGGGCCUUCGUUCACGUGCGUCUGCCAGGUCCUGUUCCCCCUUUCUCAUCCUCGGGCAGAGACGUCACUACUGCCAACUGGAGGCCCCCACCUGGUCUGUCUUCCCCGGCUCACCCAUUUCUAGGCUGCCCAUGUUGCACCUUUGCUCAGGAAGGAUGAUACCUGGGCCUGAGGGUGGCUGGGCCCUGCAGGCAGCCUCAUCUGGGAGUCCCUCUUCCUUUCCUGAAAGCUCAGAUGAGAGAAACUGCUUCGGGAUUGAGAUGGGGAAGGGGUGGGCUUGAGUUAUUAAGAGGCAUCUUUCAUGUCCCUUUCCCCAUCCUUGCAGCUCUGAACGGCCCCUGUUUGUAAGUGCCAAGAUGUAUAAGCGACCAUAAACACUGCCUGUGGCCUUGUGACCUUCUCUUCAUCACCCUGGGGGGGAUGUGGGAUCAGGUUAACUCACGAUCAAUUGGUGGGCAGAGCAAAGUAACUCCCUCCCUGAAAGCAAUACUCCUGGGUCCAAAGGACUGCCCUUCCUGCUCCCUGGAAAGGCACAGCAGAUCACUAGAGGCAGAAGGCAAAGCUGUCUCCGGGCUGGGCUUCCUUUCCUCCAGCUGUAAGAUCUCUUUGCACUCACUGGGAUGUGCUGGGGCCACCUUGAGGCCAGUGAAGAUUCUGUCUUACUUGAAAGAAAGAAAUCGGACACCAGAAUGUGCUGAGGCAGAAUGUAAGGGGGAGGGUAAAAUGAUACAACUGCUUUGAAAAAUUUUGGCAGUUUCGUAUAUAAAGGUAAACAUAUGCUAAACAAAUGACCAACAAUUCCACUUCUAGGUGGAAGUUUCAUCUUCUCAGAGAAAUGAAAAAAAUAAUGUCUAUAAAAAAGAUUUGCACUCUGAUGUUCAUAACAGCCUGAUUUAUAAUAGGCCCAAGCUGGAAGCAACCCAGAUGUCUAUCAGCAAGUGAAUGCAUAAACAAGUCCGUACAAUGGAAUAACAUUCAGCAAUUUAAAAAGAAGGAACAACUGAUACAUGCAACAAUACGGAUAAAUUUCAAAAACAUUAUGCCAAAUGAAAGAAGCCACACCCCGAAGCAUAUAUACUCUUAUGGAAUAUGGAAUUCUGGAAUAGAUAAAACCAACAGCUGGAACCAACCUGUAAUGGUAGAAAUCAGAUCAGUGUUUGGGGUCAGGGCUGAGGAGACACCUAAAAGCUUCAUGGGGUGAUGGAAAUGUUUUAGAUCUCGAUUGUGAUGGUGGUUGGGCAAGAGUAUACAGUUGCCAAAAGUCAUCAGUCUAUAUACUUAGAAUGAGUGCAUAAAUAAAAAAUAAAGUUGAU
Non-coding RNA from Vicugna pacos (alpaca), 1846 nucleotides. Lineage: Eukaryota; Metazoa; Chordata; Mammalia; Artiodactyla; Camelidae. The record is from RefSeq and is a predicted model, not a curated record.